RNAcentral lists this ribosomal RNA (469 nucleotides) under uncultured bacterium. RNAcentral describes it as "bacterial SSU rRNA". It matches the Rfam family "Bacterial small subunit ribosomal RNA", at positions 29 to 506 of the family's 1533-position model. The record is from RNAcentral.
ACGAACGCUGGCGGCAUGGAUUAGGCAUGCAAGUCGAACGAUUUUAUAAGCGUAGCAAUACGUUUAUAAGGUAGUGGCGCAAGGGUGAGGAACACGUGAGUAAUCUGCCCUCAAGUUUGGAAUAACCUUUCGAAAGAGAGGCUAAUACCGGAUGUGGCUAUACGAUCGCAUGGUUGUAUAUCUAAAGGUUUACUGCUUGAGGAUGAGCUCGCGUCCCAUUAUGCUAGUUGGUGAGGUAACGGCCCACCAAGGCUAUGACGGGUAGGUGGUCUGAGAGGAUGGUCACCCACACUGGGACUGAGAACUGCCCAGACUCCUACGGGAGGCUGCAGUCGAGAAUCUUCCGCAAUGGGCGCAAGCCUGACGGAGCAAUGCCGCGUGCAGGAUGAAGGCCUUCGGGUUGUAAACUGCUGUCACAGGGGAUGAACGCAAUGACAGUACCCUGGGAGGAAGCCACGGCUAACUACGU